GUCCGGCCCGGCGGGGCGCAGUUCGGCCUUCGGGCGGUCGGCCUCGACGGGCACCGGCGGCAGCAGAGCCGGUUCGAUGCCGGCGGCGGCCA
This 92-nucleotide transfer RNA is filed under the name Streptomyces sindenensis. RNAcentral describes it as "tRNA-Pro". Lineage: Bacteria; Bacillati; Actinomycetota; Actinomycetes; Kitasatosporales; Streptomycetaceae. The record is from RNAcentral.